UAAGGUUCUGACAUAAAUGCACGAAACUGAUUUGGUGCGGUAGUAACUCGAUAAUUAUAUCCUUAAACCUCCACAGUUCUCUGUCUUUGGUUCAGUUGAUUCUGGAUGGAUUUAGCAUUGGUACAAUUCACUGUGUAAUUGUAUAUCCCUGAAUCACUGAGUUAGAUUUGAAAUCCCUUGAAGAUUCUUUUGCAAAAACUUCUCUUUUCCUACUACUAGUGGUGCCAUUCAAAGUUGACAUUCCGAGCCCUGGAAAGAUGCUUCAUUGUAGAUGUAGCAAAUUCCCAUCCUGAUCUGGUGAUCUGAUAAUCAAGUCGGAGUAAUUACUCAGAUCAAGGCCUGAAGUACCUUCUUCAAAAUCCACUGUUAGUAGUACCAAAUUAGUAAUGGAAUCUUCUUCGAAUCACAAUCAUCUUUGUCGAACAUGGAAAACUGCUUCUAAUAAUCCUUUGAGUAAUCAAUUGGAUUGGGUCAUCAAUGUAAUUCCAUUACCGGUUCUAAGAAUCUGGUAUUUGAAAGCCCGAUGUUUGUCUUGUAAUCUGUCAGCCUGAUCUGUCUCAACUAAAUGUCAAUCUGAUUUGUCUUGGAGUAGAAUAAUUAAAAAGGUUACGGGACACUUGAUUAUUUAAACUAAGUUUAAAUUAUAAAGAAAAUAAAUUUAAAAAUAAG
This 669-nucleotide long non-coding RNA is filed under the name Daucus carota (carrot). Its description in RNAcentral is "long non-coding RNA (DCAR_LNC000139)". Lineage: Eukaryota; Viridiplantae; Streptophyta; Magnoliopsida; Apiales; Apiaceae. The record is from RNAcentral.